This 253-nucleotide unclassified non-coding RNA is filed under the name uncultured Alphaproteobacteria bacterium. Its description in RNAcentral is "contains 16S-23S intergenic spacer region". It matches the Rfam family "Bacterial small subunit ribosomal RNA", at positions 524 to 776 of the family's 1533-position model. Lineage: Bacteria; Pseudomonadati; Pseudomonadota; Alphaproteobacteria. The record is from RNAcentral.
UACGAAUGGGGCAAGCGUUGUUCGGAAUCACUGGGCUUAAAGCGUGCGUAGGCGGAUUUGCAAGUCAGGAGUGAAAGCCCAGGGCUCAACCUUGGAACUGCUUCUGAAACUGCAAAUCUAGAAUCCGGGAGAGGUUAGCGGAAUUCCUAGUGUAGAAGUGAAAUUCGCAGAUAUUAGGAGGAACACCAGUGGCGAAGGCGGCUAACUGGACCGGUAUUGACGCUGAGGUACGAAAGCGUGGGGAGCAAACAGG